RNAcentral lists this ribosomal RNA (454 nucleotides) under uncultured bacterium. RNAcentral's name for it is "partial 16S ribosomal RNA". It matches the Rfam family "Bacterial small subunit ribosomal RNA", at positions 28 to 507 of the family's 1533-position model. The record is from RNAcentral.
GAUGAACGCUGACAGAAUGCUUAACACAUGCAAGUCAACUUGAACUUCGGUUUGGGUGGCGGACGGGUGAGUAACGCGUAAAGAACUUGCCUCACAGAUAGGGACAACAUUUGGAAACGAAUGCUAAUACCUGAUAUUAUGAUUAUAUGGCAUCGUAUAAUUAUGAAAGCUGUAUGCGCUGUGAGAGAGCUUUGCGUCCCAUUAGCUAGUUGGAGAGGUAACGGCUCACCAAGGCGAUGAUGGGUAGCCGGCCUGAGAGGGUGAUCGGCCACAAGGGGACUGAGACACGGCCCUUACUCCUACGGGAGGCAGCAGUGGGGAAUAUUGGACAAUGGACCAAGAGUCUGAUCCAGCAAUUCUGUGUGCACGAUGAAGUUUUUCGGAAUGUAAAGUGCUUUCAGUUGGGAAGAAAAAAAUGACGGUACCAACAGAAGAAGUGACGGCUAAAUACGUG